This 308-nucleotide ribosomal RNA is filed under the name uncultured bacterium. RNAcentral's name for it is "bacterial SSU rRNA". It matches the Rfam family "Bacterial small subunit ribosomal RNA", at positions 28 to 334 of the family's 1533-position model. The record is from RNAcentral.
GACGAACGCUGGCGGCGUGCCUAACACAUGCAAGUCGAACGGAAGUAAGUGCUUCGGUAUUUACUUUAGUGGCGAACGGGUGAGUAACGCGUGAAUAACCUGCCUUUCAGUGGGGGACAACAGUCGGAAACGACUGCUAAUACCGCAUGACGCUUCUUGGGGGCAUCCCUGAGAAGUCAAAGCUUUAUGUGCUGAAAGAUGGAUUCGCGUCUGAUUAGCUAGUUGGCGGGGUAACGGCCCACCAAGGCGACGAUCAGUAGCCGGACUGAGAGGUUGAACGGCCACAUUGGGACUGAGACACGGCCCAG